Molecule: ribosomal RNA, 497 nt
Filed under: uncultured bacterium
Lineage: Bacteria
Description: partial 16S ribosomal RNA
Rfam family: Bacterial small subunit ribosomal RNA
Source: RNAcentral
GAUGAACGCUGGCGGCGUGCCUAAUACAUGCAAGUCGAGCGAACGGACGAGAAGCUUGCUUCUCUGAUGUUAGCGGCGCACGGGUGAGUAACACGUGGAUAACCUACCUAUAAGACUGGGAUAACUUCGGGAAACCGUAGCUAAUACCGGAUAAUAUUUUGCACCGCAUGGUUCAAAAGUGAAAGACGGUCUUGCUGUCACUUAUAGAUGGAUCCGCGCUGCAUUAGCUAGUUGGUAAGGUAACGGCUUACCAAGGCAACGAUGCAUAGCCGACCUGAGAGGGUGAUCGGCCACACUGGAACUGAGACACGGUCCAGACUCCUACGGGAGGCAGCAGUAGGGAAUCUUCCGCAAUGGGCGAAAGCCUGACGGAGCAACGCCGCGUGAGUGAUGAAGGUCUUCGGAUCGUAAAACUCUGUUAUUAGGGAAGAACAUAUGUGUAAGUAACUGUGCACAUCUUGACGGUACCUAAUCAGAAAGCCACGGCUAACUACGUG